CGUUCCCGGGCCUUGUACACACCGCCCGUCACACCAUGGGAGUUGGUUUUACCUGAAGACGGUGCGCUAACCGAAAGGGGGUCAGCCGGCCACGGUAGGGUCAGCGACUGGGGUGAAGUCGUAAACAAGGUACC
RNAcentral lists this ribosomal RNA (134 nucleotides) under uncultured bacterium. RNAcentral's name for it is "partial 16S ribosomal RNA". It matches the Rfam family "Bacterial small subunit ribosomal RNA", at positions 1369 to 1500 of the family's 1533-position model. The record is from RNAcentral.